UUACAAUUUGUACAUAAAUGCCCAGGAAAAGUUGGAAGGUGCUACAUUAAGGUGUUAAGAGUCGCCAUGGGGGUGGCUGAUGUGAGAAUUUAAGGUGUUUUCUCUUUAGGAUAAAAUAUCCUACCGCCCAAAGAAUAGGCCGGUCGCGGUGGCUCACGCCUGUAAUCCCAGCACUUUGGGAGGCUGAGGCGGGCGGAUCACCUGAGGCCAGGAGUUCUUGUCACCCAGGCUGGAGUGCAAAUGGUGCAGUCUUGGCUCACUGCAACCUCUGCCUCCAGGUUCAAGUGAUUCUCCUGCCUCAGCCUCCUGAGUAGCUGGGAUUACAGGUGCAUGCCACCACUACCGGCUAAUUUUUGAAUUUUAGUAGAGACAGGGUUUCACCAUGUUGGCCAGGCUGGUCUUGAACUCCUGACCUCAGGUGAUCCGCCUGCCUCGGCCUCCCAAACUGCUGGGAUUACAGGCGUGAGCCACCGUGCCUGGCUGCUAGUCAUGGUUUUAAGACUGGAGUUAUUAUACUGAAGAAGACAGAGAAGGAAUUUUCUUGAGAUGAUAUUGGGCAAGGGAACUAAAAAACAAGUAAUGAUCAAAUAAACAAGAUGAUGUCAGGAAAUAAUAAACCCUGGGAAGAAACAACAGAGGGUGGAGGGUGGAGGAUGGAGGAUGGGGUGGGGUGGGGUGGGGUGUGAACUGUUGAGAGAACCGGGAAAGAUGGAGAAGUCAAAAGAAAUAAAUGUGGAUGUGGAACAUGCAGGCCACUGGCAAACUUGAGGGCAUUUUCAGGGGCAUUCAAAAGCUGGAUGAGAAAACCAAAGGUACAGUGAAGUUAACCUGCCCAAUUAGUAAGCGACGGGGCAUGCUCCAGCUGCCUCCAAGGCUGAGAUCCUGGGGACCUGAAAACAGAGGGCAGAGCUGAGAUCUUUGGGACGCUGAGCUGUAGGGGACUUGUAAGAGGGUGGAGUCUUUCAGGGGACGAGCUGCAUUUGAGCAGUGAAUGGGCAGGUGUAGAGGAGUCUUUCAGGGGACGAGCUGCAUUUGAGCAGUGAAUGGGCAGGUGCAGGGGAGUCUUUCGGGAGAUGAACUGCGUUUGAGCAGUGAAUGGGCAGGUGUGGAGGGCCUGGGACUCCAGGGAGAUGAUCGCAGAGGCACUGCCCCCCUGGGGGCCCUGCUGUAGGGGGUGGUGGCCUAGAACCCGAGUCGCUGGAGAAUCAGGGAGGCCCAGACAUAGCCCCUUACAGAGUGGGCCUGAGGCCUUGCCCUGGUCUGUCCCACCUUUGCAUUGGCUAGACAAUAGUUGGAUACGUGGAGGAGUCACGGCCCAGCCUCACUGUGAGGCCAGCCCCUGCUAGAGUGGGUGAGAGAUUCUGCAGGCCUAGGCUGUGGCAGCCCCUGCUAGAGUGGGUGAGAGCUUCUGCAGGUCUAGGCUGGGCCAGCCCCUGCUAGAGCGGGUGAGAGAUUCUGCAGGCCUAGGCUGGGCCAGCCCCUGCUAGAGCGGGUAAGAGAUGAUUCUGGAGACCCCCAAGAGGCCUCCUGAGCGGAGCUGGUGGGUUCCUUUUCCUUCUCCGGCAGGACGUUAGAGCAGCAUUGAUCCACGUUUCAAAACCCAGGCUCCCUUUUGAUACACGUAGAACCCUUCCACACCCUUUUUUUCAUAUGUGACUUGAAGUUUCAAAACAAUAUUGUGUGUUUGAAAAAAGCGGGCGUGACGUUGAACAGCCCGUCUUUGGGCCCUGCGGGUUCUGACUGCCCCCACAGCCCCUCAGAGGUGAAGGUGCAACCGGUGGUGGCCAUGGCGAGCCAUCGGCGGAAACGAGCUCGUGAGGGACUCGCCUGGCCUCUGGGCUUGACAUCCUGAAUCUCAUUACCAAGGUGGAGCUGGUCCAGGAGCUGCUCCUGGCUGUGUCCUCCAGCCCCGUGAGGACAGUUCCUCUGUCCCUCCCACACCGAUGUGCAUUCCCUCUGCCCGUUCAUGUCUGCAGCUCCUCUGUCCCUCCCACACUGAUGUGCAUUCCCUCUGUCCAUCCAUUUCUGCAGCUCCUCUGUCCCUCCCACACUGAUGUGCAUUCCCUCUGUCCAUCCAUUUCUGCAGCUCCUCUGUCCCUCCCACACUGAUGUGCAUUCCCUCUGUCCAUCCAUUUCUGCAGCUCCUCUGUCCCUCCCACACUGAUGUGCAUUCCCUCUGUCCAUCCAUUUCUGCAGCUCCUCUGUCCCUCCCACACCGAUGUGCAUUCCCUCUGCCCGUUCAUGUCUGCAGCUCCUCUGUCCCUCCCACACUGAUGUGCAUUCCCUCUGUCCAUCCAUUUCUGCAGCUCCUCUGUCCCUCCCACACUGAUGUGUAUUCCCUCUGCCCGUCCAUUUCUGCAGCUCCUCUGUCCCUCCCACACUGAAGUGCAUUCCCUCUGCCCGUCCAUUUCUGCAGCUCGGCACGAGUGCAGAAAUGAUCCGAAGCCCCGUCCAAGUCAUGAUUUCUUAUUAUGUGCUCUGUGAAUGUUAAUAGUCAACAGCUGAUGCUGUUGCCUUUUUUAACCCUCCUCUCCACUCGGGACGCAGUGGUAACUGCAUGAGUGGGUGUGAGGUCUGACGGUGGAGAGAGGGUGUGAGGUCUGACGGUGGAGAGAGGGUGUGAGGCCUGACGGUGGAGAGAGAGGGUGCGAGGUCUGACGGUGGAGAGAGGGUGCGAGGUCUGACGGUGGAGAGAGGGAGUGAGGUCUGACGGUGGAGAGAGGGAGUGAGGUCUGACGGUGGAGAGAGGGUGUGAGGUCUAUAUUUAGAUACAGGAAUACUUUCCGCUGUGUCACAGUUGCCUGCAGCCUUCGGUACAGUAACCGUAUGUUUCUUUGUUGAAUCGCAUUAUUUCCAGGCAGCACCGCCGUCGGCUGUGUGAAGGCCAGAUCACGUGCUGUCGUGUUUGCCUGGACCCUCCCCUGGCAUUGGGCGUCUGUGUUGUUUCCAGUUCUUUGCUAUCAAACGUGACGCAGCUGUGAGUGCGCUCAUCCUGUGUGAUAAUAGUCCGUUUCUCUCUGUUUCCCACCCGGCUCUUCUAGCUGAAUAGUUUUGCAGCUGCCUCCCGCUGGGUCUGGGGUUGCCCAGUGCUGAGCCAGGCAUCCUGGGUUUGUGGCGAGCUGCUCAUCCAUGGUGAUACUGGGAUUAUUCCCAGACCCUCAUCCCAGCCGUGACAGCUUGGCCAGGCCCUGCUGCUGCUGGGCUUGCUUUCCUCUGAGCUCAUUUCCUUAUGUAUGUUAUAGUCCCGGGGCAGGUCCCUGCUGUUUUCAGCCUCCUUUCCCAGGUGGAAAAUCCCCUCAACAGCCUGAUUUUAGUGACUCUGCUCUGGUCCCCCACCUCCCAAGGGUCACUUUUAGUCCCUGAACCCUGGAAGACCAAUCUCCCAGCUGCCUCUGUCUGCUUCGGAGCCCAGAGCUCAGCAAGCGGCUGUGCCUUCACCCCUCAAAAUGGCAAAUACUUUGAAUUUAUGAUCCAUGGAGAUAUAGAUCUUGUUUUUGCGCACAUUUCCUUGCUGCUGUUGUUGUGAAAGUAUUUUCCUCUAUCACUUCCGUGUCUUUGGAACAGGAAAAGCUGCAGGCAGGGCCUCACAGUGUGUGCUAGCAUUCUGUCUUGCUGGAAGUCCCUGACUCCUCAUCCCCAGAUGGAGUUAAUAAUGUCUGCUCCACAGUUGCUGCGAGAAUUCAGUAAGACUGUUGAAGUGGGCAAAACCUCCAGCAUAGAUAUUCCAUAACUAUCAGAGGCCUCCCUUCCUCUUCAGCCAGAAAUCUCCCCUUUGAACCUGAGGUCCUUCUAAUCUUCAGGGGACCCCUUUGACAAUGCACAUGUCCAUGGAAGAGGAAAUUCCUUAAAACAUCGUCUGUGGGGAGACACUUUGUGGGAUGAAAAGAUGGUCACAGCUGAGCUGUGGGAGGGCAGAAGUGAGGGAUCUUUGAAGGAAAAGAAAGUGAAUGGAAGGAAAGACAAAUUUAGCAAGUUUAAUAAUUUAGUUGAGGGUUUCCCCAUCCCCCUCAUGAGUCACCCUCACACUCCGUAACAGUCUUGAGCUACCACCAGCCUGUCUUAAUCUCCAGAGGGCUCCAGUGCCCAGAAAAGUCCGAAAUAGCUUAGGAUGAAUUUUCUUAUCUUUCCUAAGGCAGAGAAUAUGAGGCUGUGCAUUACGCUAUUACUUUGCCCUUGAAUUUUUAGAGGCUGAUAAAACUUAGCCUCUAAAAGAUCAAGGAUAUUCCCUCUCUGCAGCACCAGGCAUAUGGUGCACGGUUAGCAGGAAUGGAUGGGGCUGGGAACAUGUUCAUGGUAUAUGAGCCUGGGUACCUGUGGGUACCAGAACCAUGUGCUGGAUUUUUCUGCCUGCUUGUGGGGUGUGGGAAGGCUGGCGUAAUUGGUUUCCUAAUGCCCUUUCUUCUUAGAAAAAUGUCUAAUCAUAAUGAAGAGAUAACUAACUAGAAAGGCCGUUUAAAAUGUCAGAUUUUAAGCUGGUUCUGAGUCUGUGAUGAAAAUUUGGAGUUAUGUCUCCCCGCAAAAGCCAAAUCCUAAUGGAAGAACUUGGGUUUUCUGAUGAAAACUCUUGGAGCAUUCUGCCCAAGGCCUCUUAUCUUCCUUUCCUUUCGUGCUUCACUUCCAUCAUCUCUGGCUGUAAUUGUAAGUAUUUUUUCUGGAGCGAGUUGAGUGCUGGUGAGAUGUUCCUGGGGCUGUCAGGGUGGUGUUGCUGCCUGUGUUAUGCCCUUUCACCAGGCGGCAGUGUGAGCCUCAGCCCAUCUGCUUUGGGAGCCUGCAGUCAAAUGCGUUUAUUCAUGUAGGCAGCUGACACAUUUAUUGAGCACCUCCUAUGUGCCAGGCAAAAUAGCUCUUCCAAUGGGAGAGGGAGACCACAAACCCAGUAAAUUCUGCAGUGUCACAGACGGUGAUCAAGUCCUUAGGGCAAAGGGAGAAGGGGUGCUGGGGACACUGGGGCAGUUGCUGGUUUAUAUGGGGAUAAGAGAGGGGCCCACCGACAAAAUGACUUUUGAAUGGAGAUCUGAAGCAUCUUCUGUGGCUAUGUGGAGGGAAAGCAU
This 5051-nucleotide long non-coding RNA is filed under the name Homo sapiens (human). Its description in RNAcentral is "non-protein coding lnc-DOC2B-3:2". The record is from RNAcentral. Lineage: Eukaryota; Metazoa; Chordata; Mammalia; Primates; Hominidae.